GACGGAGGAUGCAAGUGCUAUCCGGAAUUAUUGGGCGUAAAGGGUGCGUAGGUGGUCGGACAAGUCCCGUGUCAAAGCAUGGUGCUUAACGCCAUAAAGGCGUGGGAAACUGUCAGACUAGAGUACAGCAGGGGCAGGAGGAAUUCCCGGUGUAGCGGUGAAAUGCGUAGAUAUCGGGAAGAACACCAGUGGCGCAAGCGUUCUGCUGGGCUGUAACUGACACUGAGGCACGAAAGCUAGGGGAGCGAAAGGG
This 253-nucleotide ribosomal RNA is filed under the name uncultured bacterium. Its description in RNAcentral is "partial 16S ribosomal RNA". It matches the Rfam family "Bacterial small subunit ribosomal RNA", at positions 524 to 776 of the family's 1533-position model. The record is from RNAcentral.